This 116-nucleotide ribosomal RNA is filed under the name Colletotrichum tofieldiae. The record is from RNAcentral. Lineage: Eukaryota; Fungi; Ascomycota; Sordariomycetes; Glomerellales; Glomerellaceae.
AUACGACCAUACCCACAGGAAAACUCGGGAUCCCGUCCGCUCUCCCAUAGAUAAGCCUGUGAGGGCCGGAUUAGUAGUUGGGUCGGUGACGACCAGCGAAUACCUGGUGUUGUAUG